GUGCUCACUUUGGCAGCACAUACACUAAAAUUGGAAUGAUACAGAGAUUAGCAUGGACCCUGCACAAAGAUGACAUGCAAACUGGUGAAACAUUUCAUAUUUUU
RNAcentral lists this small nuclear RNA (104 nucleotides) under Theropithecus gelada (gelada). The record is from RNAcentral. Lineage: Eukaryota; Metazoa; Chordata; Mammalia; Primates; Cercopithecidae.